GAGUGUGCUGUCUCCCUACACCAACGCUUAUGCUGGGUGUCCCCUGCAGCAGACAGAAACAAGUUCAAACCUCUCACGUGACUCCCUGGCACGUCACACCAUCCAUCACUGAGCCAGCCGCCUGGGCGUUUCUGUCACCAAAAGAACAGCCCAUCUUCACCACGCGAGCGCACGUCUUCCAGAUUGACCCCAGCACCAAGAAGAACUGGGUGCCCGCGAGCAAGCAGGCCGUCACUGUGUCCUACUUCUACGAUGUUACCAGGAACAGCUAUCGGAUCAUCAGCGUUGAUGGAGCCAAGGUGAUCAUAAACAGCACCAUCACCCCGAACAUGACGUUCACCAAAACCUCGCAGAAGUUCGGGCAGUGGGCAGACAGCAGAGCCAACACAGUGUUCGGUCUGGGAUUCUCCUCAGAGCAGCAGCUCACCAAGUUUGCAGAGAAGUUCCAGGAGGUGAAAGAAGCUGCCAGGCUAGCGAGAGACAAGUCCCAGGAGAAGAUCGAGACCUCGAGUAAUCAUUCCCAAGAAUCUGGGUGUGAAACCCCGUCUUCCACUCAGGCAUCCAGCGUCAACGGAACGGACGAUGAGAAGGCCUCCCAUGCCAGCCCGGCCGACACACACCUCAAGUCUGAGAAUGACAAGCUGAAGAUCGCGUUGACACAGAGUGCUGCCAAUGUAAAGAAGUGGGAGAUUGAGCUGCAGACCCUGCGGGAGAGCAACGCCCGGCUGACCACAGCCCUGCAGGAGUCGGCGGCCAGCGUGGAGCAGUGGAAGAGGCAGUUCUCCAUCUGUCGUGAUGAGAAUGACCGACUCCGCAGCAAGAUCGAGCAGCUGGAAGACCAGUGCGGCGAGAUAAACCGGGAGAAGGAGAAAAACACCGAGCUGAAGAGCAGGAUUGAGCAGCUGGAGUCCGAGCUCCGGGAAAAGGAGACGGAGUUGAAAGACCUCCGGAAACAGAGUGAGAUCAUACCUCAGCUCAUGUCUGAGUGUGAAUACGUCUCUGAGAAGCUAGAGGCGGCCGAAAGAGACAAUCAAAACUUGGAAGACAAAGUGCGGUCUCUAAAAACAGACAUCGAGGAGAGCAAAUACCGACAGCGCCACCUGAAGGGGGAGUUGAAGAGCUUCCUGGAGGUGCUGGACGGCAAGAUCGACGACCUCCACGACUUCCGCCGAGGACUCUCCAAGCUGGGCGCGGAUAACUAGGCCAGGCCAGGCCCCGGGUGGCGAGUGUGUGUGUGAGGUGAAGUAGGCGUAGGACAUCCUCCAUCUGUGUCGUUUCUGCCAAUGCAGGUGCAUCCUGUCUGUCUCCAGACCAGUCACGCGGUCCACCCAGUCCUCCCGGAUAGAAACUCGUGAGGUGUGGGCGACUGGAAGCUUCUGACUCAGGAAUCCAGAACUCGGUCUACCUUAGCCGUUUACGCAGUCAGGCAGGGAUGUUUAUAUCUCUCUCUCUCUUUUUUUUUUUAAGGGCUGUUGCAACCCUAUGAACUGGGUGGGUGGGGGAGUAUUUUCUAAUCCAACUAUCGAUAUCCUUUACAACAGGCCACUGGGCGCCUUCUACUGAGUAGCAUUCAGGGUGUGUGACUCUCGGGCAGAUUCUAGUCCGUGGGGGCUAUGUAUCUAACCUUUUGACGUUGUGAUACAGCUUUGUCAUCCGUAAAGAUCACACUCAAGGAUUGACUUACCCACAGAGAAAUAAUUGUCAAAAAAAGCCCCAAACAAACCACCUUUCAAUGUUUUAAGUCAAUUUACUGUUUUGUGUUGGAGCAUAUUCUUAGUUAUCCUCGGCUACGUGUGACCCUCAGACUGUAGGUCAGGCGUCUCUUCUUGAAAGGAACCAUUUAGUGGAAACUUUACCAGAGGGAAGAAAACCCAGAAGUUCUGGGGUGUACCUACAGACAGGAACUCACCUGUAUCCACUGUGCCCCGAUCUUCCCCCGAUUACUACGGUUGCGGCAAUGUUUCUUUUCUUGUGUUUCUUUUUUUUUUUUUUUUUGGUGGUUGGUUGGUUUUUGUUUUGUUUCUAUUUCCGGGCGUCUGCUUACGCUGUGGGAACGGAUGCAGGAGUGUGCUUAACAUAGUGCUGGGCAUACCACAGGUGCUUAAUAAACAUUCGUUCAAUUAAACACAUAUAGUGCUUUAAUCGGAUCCCACAGCAGAGUUCAGGCCCCGUGGAAUCAUGCACCAUCUUCCCUGGGCUGAAGAGAUGGCCUGCAGGGAAUGCAGUCUGCUGCAGGCAAACCCACACGUGGCUCUGAGGAGGGAUACCGGCAAUGGAGUGACCCUCCCGCAGGGUGCCCAGCCGUGAUCCCCAUAGAGGUCAUUGCCAUGGGACUACCUUCUCUUCUAAGCAGAGCGCCUGUAGUCUGAGGCUUCUAGGAUCCUGGGAGAGCCUGGGAUAGGAGCUGCCACGGGCCUAGAAGCUCGGCCAGGUUCCUACAAUGGGCUCGAACAACCGAGAAGAUGUCCUACAGGCUAUGAGGGUAAGAGAGCUGCUCAGGUGGCAGCCCUUGGCCGUGGUGACAGAGCAGCUCUGCUCUGCCCGGGUCUGCCUUCCCUUAGGUCCUGCUAAGGAAGGACCUGGAGCCCUAAAGCUCUCCUCUCACAGACUUCUUGGUGGGGCCAUUGGGCACUGAGGUCCACCCACAGGCAUCUGUCCUUAAGAGAGAUGUCCAUGGGAUACCCUUCUAAAUGCCCCAGUCAAGGGGAACUUUGGUGUUCCCUAGCUCUCUAAGAACCCUCUAGAUAUGAAUUCACACAGUUAGGAAUUCGUCCUCGUGACUUUGCAUGAACUCUUGUUCAUGCAGACAGCCUGGGGAAGGGGCGGGCCAGCUUGUCCGCCACCCAGGCCCCGUGGUGACUUCCCAGCCCUCAUCGUUCCCUGCUGUGGCUGUCACUCUGGUCAAGGAACUCUGUUGGGAUGGGAAAGGAAGGGAGGCUGGCGAUAUGGAGUGCUGAGGGUGUCUUGUGCAAUGGGAGUGGUCACCUGUGAUGUAAUUCACCCCAGGGUGUGACUGGCCCCGCCUUCCCCUGCAGCUCCUAAUAGGUCUCAUCAGUAGCAGCUCGUGCUGGUCCACUAGGGAACAAAGACUGGGCUGGCUAUGACCCAGCCUGGGUAAGGGGCCCUCAUCUUAGACCAUCUUGGCCUCCCUGUCUGUCAGCAGCCUGGGCACAUGGCUGCCCAGGAGCAGCAGACGCCGGGAUCCUCAUCUUGGGCUUCACAGGUAGAUAGAUGUAGACGUGUAGAAGGAGCUCUUGGCUGGUGAGGGUGUGAGCCGGUGACAGGGCCGUACGAACAUAGCUGCUAAAGCCCCUUCUUCGUCUGCAUGGCAGUGACUUACAAAAGCGCUGAAAAUGGAAAUGCAGAAAGUUCUGGAAGUCAGUACCACAGUGGGGCUGACUGUAAGGUCGACUCCAUGAUCCUUGCUGUGAGCCGUUGAAGAGUCUGGCGGCUUCUCGUAGCCAGCAGGUAGGGGAACGAGAGUUUUGGGGCAUCCCCCAAACGGCCGCAACCCAGGAGCCUGAGGACCUAGGAACCUGUCGCAGAGUGAUUUAGGCAAACAUGUGCGAGACUAAGCACUGACCUUCCCCUUCACCUGCUUUCUCUAAAGAGCUCAUGUCUCUCCAUCUGCUCUUUUUAAGAACAGUCGUGACCCAGAAACGGCCUGGGUGGCCAACAGGAGGCUGGCCCCGAAUACAACCUCCAGCCCUUCAAAAGGUAGGCUCUGUACAGAGCAGACGAGCCACUAACUGUCCAGUCUCCGCUCGCACUGAUGUGGCAUGCCUCCAGUUGUUGUGACGUCCAGCCCAGCCCUGGGACUGUCGUCAUGACCUCAAACCCUGUGCAGGUGCAGUGAGCUGUUGGCUCCCGGCGAUUACUGCCGUGGUGUGCCGCCUCCGAACCAGGUGUCCCCUGAGCUCUCCUGACAACUCGAGAAUGGCUGUCUGUGCCUUGCUUACCUGGCUUUCUGCAGCCGUUCACACAGGGCCUAAAAGAGGCCAAGGAAAACUCAGAGAACCCUUUAACCAUAAUCCGUGUGCAUUUCUGACGUAAGGCUGGUAGGGACAGGACCUGCUUCUGGGGCCUCAGGAAUGUAACUAGAAGCGCAGAUUGGGGGAGCCACACAGAGCCCGUGCUAACCCUCAGAUCGUCCCCCCAAGAGCUGUCACUGUAGACCUCCACUGGGGGAGAGAACUUGGCAGAGAUCAUCAGCAGGAAGCGGAGGCAGAGAGGCGUGCCCAGGGGACCCCAGCUGUGACCAGCAGCAUGGGCUCUUGGGUCACUUGGACCUUGGUCCACCGUUCUCUUCAGAACCGUAUCGCGGUUCUCCUUUGAUGUUUCUUAGAUGCCAAGAAGAAAUAAAUACUCGUCUGCCCUAGUAAAAACACACUGUAUUAUUUCAGUGUGUGUCCACAGCACGGGACAGCUGGCAGGGGACUGAGGCUGAUCACACUUCCACUUACCAGACAUAGUGAGGCCCGUUUCUGAAUGGUUCUGGUCUGUAGGGGACUCUUCAGUAACCUCUGUGCUCUGAGAGGCCAGUUUGGUAGAACACAGACUGGCUUUAAGUUCUCUGCUGAUGGUUUUCAUGGGCGCACACUCAUCUUUUUCAAGAGGCAGCAGGGCUUUGGCUGCAGAGACGUAAAUGGUGUUCCCGCCCAGAGGUGGUCGGUCCGGAUGAGCCACAGCUGGGGAGACCCUGCUUUUCCAGGGCUUAGAGUGGUUUGCAAGCAUGAGCUGCCCGCAGGGGCGGCUGCUCUCCUGCCUGCAGGCUUCACAGCCACAGCCUUCAGCUAUGUGAUGGGCAGCAUGUAAUGCAUUGGCUGUGAGACACCAACAAAAGGGUGGCGUGUCAUAUAGUCCGUGAGAGGCCGUAAAGCACGUGUCCACUUUGCAGGGGCUCUUUUCCUAUAGACAAAUCCCCUCUCCUGCAGACCCCAGGGGCAACUGCAAACGAGACCCAAUGUGAACCUCAGGUGUAAUAGCCAGGCGCAUUCUUGGAAAGGAGGCGACCUGAUAGGAGCUCCCCUUCCCGGGAGCACCUGCCGCUGCUGUUUGCUAAGAACUGAUAGUAAGUCACUAGAAGUUACGAUCACAAUUCAGGGGGACCCCACUGGAGUUUGAAGCACUUGCAACACAAACCGGAAGCUUUCCAGUCAACGUCUGUCCGUACGUAUUUUGAGUGGUAGGCAUGAUUUAAAUAGACCGAGACUUCUGAGUACGUGGCUUCCCCAAAGAAAUAGACGAUAUUCUGGGGACAGUGGGUGUGACAGCGUGGACAGAGCCCUGAGCAGAAGUGUGAAUUACUUCAUGUCUUUCCUUACACCUUCCCUCUUUAAAAUCAAAUCUGGCAAGAAUUCCUACUGUGUCAAAUGUCCGUGUGUGUGUGUAUAUGUGUGUGUGUGUGUGUGUGUGUGUGCGCGCGCAUACACACAUUGGGGAAGACAGCCUGACAGAAAGCUGGGGUAACACCUAGGAGAGAUCAGCUACAGCUCUGUAACUAGGAGGCGUCUUGGAGUAUUUCUGGUGGUGAUGCUGAAUGUUCUGGACUCCGCUUACAAGGCCUUGUGGGUCUCAGACAGUGCAGUCCUUGCUGCAGAGUGGCCUCUGGGCCACAGGGACCCCUCCAGAAGCCCAGAUGGGCCACAGUGGAGUGAGUCCACGCUUGUACACUUUGUCGAGAGAUUGGCAGGAGACUGAUGUUUCACAGCUGCUGGGGAUAUGAUGCUGUCUCCGCCCUCCCCUCCCCCUUCCUCUCCCUCUCCCCCAUACCUCUUUUGAUAGGAAGGCCUGAGUUUCAGUCCCUUGUGCCGUGUCUCAUGCUAUUACAGCAGGAAGGCGUUUCCUACAUCUCCAUAAGAGCUUAGUGCUAAGUAUGGACUGGAUAAGCAAACUAUUUCACGAGUAACACCCUUUUUCUUUCUAAACGCUUUUUUGGAAUAUAAGUAAUAGAUACUUGUUUUUACAAAAAGAAACUAAAGAUAAAAGGAACAAAAAUCACCUGUUGCCCCACCGUCUGAUUGUAACCCCUGUUAACACGCGUGGCUCGUCAGCUUCCCCGCACAGCCGCUCCCGUUCCUCUUCCGUGACAUACCACACCAUCUCAUGCACACGCCUCACGUGACCCACUCACCCCCUCCGACACUCAUGAAUGGACUUCUCCAUUGGUAGAUACGAAACUACUGCUUUUUAACCGCUGAGUGGAUCACACCGUGGAUGUCUAAGCUGUUUCCAAUUUUCUACCCUUGUCGUCAGGACGCCAUGAAAUUGUCCUGACAUCUUUGUAAACUGUUCAGAAUAUGGACUUAGAAUCCAUCACUGAAACCAGUGUUCCCUGAUCUCCAGACCGUGGCUCCUCUCCUUCUUAGACAUGAGAGAUUCCACUCACCAGCCCCGCUGUGGUCAGUGAUUCGGGGCCCUGUGAGUGAUUCCAGUGAGUGUGAUAGGAGCAGAAGGAACAUAUGAAACUCGAGCUAGGACUGUAGAGUGUGUCCCUGAUCCUUUGCCUUAGCAAGUGGUGACAUCCCAGGGGUAGACCGUCUUCCGGCCUGGGUCCUUGAGUGACUGUACGGGACGGCUCCUUUCUCUCCACCCCACCCACCAACCUACGUGGACCUGUGGUCCGAGCCAGAGAUAAACCUUACAGGUUUUACCCCCGGGAUUUCAGGGUUGGUGUUUUUACUGCAGCAUAACAUAGCCCCUGUUUUAACCAGUAAGAGAAAAGGCAUGCAUGUUUUUAGGGUUUUAAACAUACUUCAAAUUGCCUUUCAGAAAUACGUCCCCCAAGCAUCCCCCCACUAGCAAUGUGUGUGAGCACCCUGCUCCCUCUGUAACACUGACGUUAGCAUGGAGCAGGAGCUAACAAAGUUACAUUUUUAUUAAAAUAUGAUCCUUGUUGGCAGAAAUAUUUAUUAGACUAUAUGUUUUGUGUCUUCUGUUCAUCUCUGGCCAGCUUUCUUAUAAGGUCUUUAGCAGUCGCAUCGAUUGGUUUUUUAAUGUAUAGGUGUUUGCCCGCAUGUAGUCUGUGCAUCACUUGGAUGCCUGAUGCCCAAAGAGGCCAGAAGAGGCCAUCGGAUCUCCUGGAACUGGAGUUACAGAAGGUUGUGAGCAGCCAUGUGGGUGCUGGGAGCCAGACCCUGGUCCUCUGAAAGAGUAGCUAGUGCUCUUAACCACUGAGCCAUCUCUCCAUCCUCCAACCCCUUUUAUUUAUCUUUGGUUUUGUUUUUGUUUUUUUGAAACAAGGUCUCAACUCUGUAACUGUGGCUAGCCUGCAACUCACUAUGUAGACCACACUAGCCUUAAAUUCGUGGCGGUCCUCCUGCCUCAGCCUUCCGUGCUGGGGUUACAGGCUUGCUCCACCACACACAGUCCCAUUGAUUUCAAAGUUUUUUUCAGAAGUGUUAUAUAAAUUUUAAAGUAUCAUGGCUCUUAGAAAAAAAUGCUUAAACAUUAAAAAGAAACGUUUUUAGUCAACUCUGUCUUUCUUUAUAGUUAGUCCUUUGCUGUCACGAUUGCGAAAGGCUUCCCAGUUCUAAUUCUAGUACGUUUUACACAUUUGUAUAUUAUUCUUGUGUAUUCAUUGUUUCUUUUCAUCUGUUGAACCCCUGAUCUAGGCCAGGCGUGGUGGCACGCUCCUGUAAUCCCAGAACUUGGGAGGUGGAGGCAGAAGGAUUGGCCGCACAGCAAGUGUAAGAACCAGUUGGGCUACAGAGACCCUGUCUCAAAAAACCAGCCAGGGGACUAGCUUUCCGAGAGAGGCAGUGAGAAUGGACGCCGGUUGCCUGGAUACGGGAAAGAAAGCCAAUCUCGGAGACUUUAUCCCACUAGUGCAGGCCUUUCCAGAAGAAUCCAGCAGGCUCUGCACACAGCGAAGUCUGCGCCAGGCACAACCACCUUUUCCCAAAUGUGUGGGAGGUGUGAAUCCCAGCCCUGGGCUCAGGCGUGGAGGAAAGAUGACCUGUUGAGCCUUCAUCCAGUUUCUGUUUUAAGCCGUAUUGCAUCGGGCUCGUGCAAUUCUGGGUUCUUUCUGUCUUUCUCCCAAGGUGAGUCUUUGAUGGUUUGGGGAGGGCUUACAUCUUCCCUGGGUUGUUUGGGGAGGGGGCAUGUGGGAAGCAGUCCAUACUGCAGAGAUGUCCUCUGCCCAGUCCCAGCUAUGCACCCCCCACACACACACGCACACACGGGAACGUGGGACCCACUCAGAUGCCCUGUGCUGCAACCACAGUGCCUCUGUGCCCUUGGCUUCCAGGGCCCUCUCUCUAAGGUAUCUUCCAGGCUUCAGGUUGUGGUGCCUAAUGGUAAGCAAAGGGUGUGUUCCAUAAACCAGAUGAGUGUUUGCCCCAGGACAUCAAAUCACCGAGUAGCAAAAGGAGUCCUGGUUGCUCUCACACAAAGCUGCCAGAGAUUCCUUUCAAAACCCUAGAGUUAGAACAGCUUCCAGACCCCUCCCUUCCCUUCAAGAUUUAUUUAUUUUGUAUGCAGUGUUCUGUCUGCAUGUAUGCCUUCAGACCAGAAGAGGGCAGCAGAUCUCAUUACAGAUGGUUGUGAGCGGCCAUGUGGUUGCUGGGAAUUGAACUCAGGACCUUUGGAAGAGCAGCCAGUGUUCUUAAUCACUGAGCCAUCUCUCUUAUUGGCUCUUCUCCCCCAAGAAGAGGUCUGGCUGCUGCAUGUUCUCUGUGUCCUUUAUUCAUGUUGUCUCUGAACCCUGGAAUGUUCUCUGUUCCAGUUCCACAGGUCCCAUGAUGUCCAACCACGCUCUUACUAUGAAUACCUUACCAUAUAGAACUGGAAAUCAUUUUGUUUAGACAGUUUUGUGUAUCCAAGGCUGGUCUUGACCUCAAUCCAGUGACUUUUGUGGGUGGUGUUAGUAUUUUAUUAAUAAUUCUCUGUGUUCUCAUCUAUUUCCGUGACUCUCCCAAAGUGUGUGGAGAUCCGAGGACAGCUUGCAGCAGGUGACUUUUUCCUUCCGCAUCUUCAACCUGAGACUUUUGGGGAGAAAAGAACAAACCUACGAUUGUCCAAGUAACAGAAACUGUAUUUGAGGGUGCUCCAGGACUGGCCAGUUGGGAUUUGAGAGAGCAGCCCCUGCUGGCCUCUUCAAGUUCCUUUUAUAGGAGGGGUAACGUGCUCACAGGAGUGAGAGAAUCAGCUGCUACACAUUGUUAGAAAAGCACAAUGGAAGGGAGGAACAGGGGGAAGGAUACGCAUCCUGUGAAUGGGACUUGCAAAUUUAAGACAGGUUGAAAAACAAGUUUUGCAAUUUAUACCUUAUCUAACUAACAGAAACUUUGUUUUUCAAGACAGGGUUUCUCUGUGUAACUGCUCUGGCUGUCCUUAGAACUUUCGAGACCAGGCUGGCCUCGAACUCAGAGAUCUACCUGCCUCUGCCUCUCGAGUGCUGGGAUUAGAGGUGUGCAUCACCACCACAGAGCCAGGAACUUAUUAAUUACAAAUAGAAACCUUAACUUGCAAGGACUUCAGGACGAGCAGGAGCUUUACUGUCUAAACUGCAAACAAACUUUAACCUGCAAGGUGCGUUGUUCCUGUUCUGGUCUCC
Molecule: RNA transcript, 9556 nt
Organism: Alexandromys fortis (reed vole)
Lineage: Eukaryota; Metazoa; Chordata; Mammalia; Rodentia; Cricetidae
Gene: Homer2
Gene name: homer scaffold protein 2
Exons: 10
Source: RefSeq, a predicted model, not a curated record